AUGAACUACAAAUGUAAAACUCUAGAUAAGUCGACCAAUGGAAUUCGAUUAAAUAACUCGAAGUUAUUUCUAUUUCAAUAACUGAUCGUUGAUUGGUUCAAGAAAUCAAUUAGUUAUUUUGUAUCGUACUUCCGUUUAAUGUUAAUGGAGUUGUCCUAUUGAUUGUAUUCACUUCCAAAAUAAUUCGAUCAACCAAUCAGAAAGUAUUUUGUAGCGCCCUCUAUAUAGGAACGUAUCGAGUGUAACGAAGCCACGUGUACUCGAAUAGGAGCCGGAAAGAGCCAUUUUCUUUCGAGACUUGAGAAGGUGAUCGUUAGCCAGCGUGGCCGGUGUGCUAGUGCACUAUACCAUAUAUACUGCCAUAAUGGCGGCUAUAUUACCUUUGUUGAUGGUAUCAGUUUUAUCUGCAACAUACACAGUAGGAGAAACAGUACCAUCAGUCAUUUCUUAUUUAUCAGAAAAUGAUAAAAUUCGUUUAAAACAUGUUAUCGAUCCUGGUUUGAAUCUGCAAGAUCCAACUUCGACAUAUUAUAGUCUGUACGGAUAUCAACUUCUUCAUGAAACUAUACCUAAUAAAGAAAAAAUUUGUAAUUAUCUGUUAAAAUCCAUUGGGGAUGGUAACAAUGUUGUACCUGAAACAGCCUUUUAUAUUGUAUCAGCAUGGAAAGCUAUCAAUACAUGCCAAGAUUUACCAAUACCUGCGAUUACAAAGGUUUUGAUGAAUACUAUAGACAAAGAUACAUCUACGUUCGCUGAAUUAUAUUAUGCUGUAAAUACAUUAACACUCUUGUCACAAAAAUUAACUACAGAGAAAUCUGAAAAAUUAGCUAAGACAUUGGCUUUCAGAAAAGACGACAGUCUGUGGAAUCUUGGAUAUACCUUCCACAUUGCUUCUGAUCUUGGAUCCUUUGGUACAUUUGCUUUGCAUCGUAUCGAAGAUGCUAUCAUACAAGCAGAUGAAGUAAAUGGACAGUUCUUGCAAUUCGAAGGUGGUCUGUCUAUAACAAGCUUCCUCCUAAAUGGUAUCUUCAAGCUUAGUAAUUCGUUAAAAAAGAAGCCACUCCUGACGUCUCAGCAAAUUGUCAAACUAACUAAUUAUCUUUUGUCGAGACGAUCCGUACAAACUCCUAAGGGCGUUGUAAGUCUUCUUUCAGCACUGAAUACAUUAGCAGCAUACGAACAUGAAACAUUAGUAUGUAUCACCUUACCUGAAGAAGGAGUCAUUGUUUCAAACAAACAACCCCUUGUUACUGUUAAAGUUUGUGAUAUUUUUGGUAAACCGUUGGCAACAGUACCGAAAGUUAUCACAAAUUAUGUUACUAAAUUGGAUGAUGAUACUGCUAUUCUCAAUAAAGAAACAUUACAGCCUUCAACAACAGAUAAAACAUUGUUUACGAUGGAUUUAAUGAAAGCUAAGCCAGAACGUGGAUUUUAUAAAAUAUCAGUCUCAGCAGCAUCUGUAACCAACAUCGUUAAGGUCAAAGUUCUUUCCGAAGUAGUGGUUGAUUAUUUAGAAAUAGGAACAGGUGAUGCUGAUCAAACUACGCAACCAAAAUUAACAAGAGUAACAUAUCCUGAAAAACUAAGUCAGAAGAUAGAGGCAGAUUCCCAACAAAAAUUAGUUGUCAGAUUUUUGUUGAAAGAUUCAGCUAAUAAAAAACCGAUGCGCGUUCACCAAGCAUUUAUCCGUUUAUCAUCUACUUCUACUACCAAUACUAACAAUGAAAAUGAAAUAACAUUUGUAGCUGAGCCAGAUAAUGCUAAUAUUUAUAAAUUUGAUAUGCCUCUAGCAGCAACAGCGAUAAACUUUGCUUAUCGCAGCGGGGAUUAUAAAAUAGCUUUAGUUAUCGGUGAUGCUGUAUUAAGUAAUUCUUUUGAAUGGACUAUUGCUAUGGUAAAUUUGAAAUUCCCUGAUGCUGUUGCUGCUGAAUCAAGCGAUAAGAAUGCUUUCUUCAAACAAAAAGCAGAUAUAUAUACAACCAAACCAGAAAUAAAGCACAUGUUCCGUGAACCGGAGAAGAGGCCACCAGCUUUCGUAUCAAAUUUAUUUACUGGCCUAUGCUUAUCACCUGCCUUUUUACUUAUUAUUUUGUGGGCAAAACUUGGCGUCAAUAUAUCUAAUUUCCCCUUAUCUCUUAGUGCUGUAACGUUCCAUCUUGGAUUAGGAGGUAUUUUCGUACUGUUUGGAGUAUUCUGGUUAAAAUUGAACAUGUUUGUAACAUUGCGUUAUCUUCUGGGACUUGGUGUUGUUACAUUCCUUGCGGGUAACAAAUUGUUAUCGAACAUUGCCCAUAAACACAAAUCAUAAAUCACUGAAUUAUAAACGGAGGUUCCUUUAGCACGCUCAAGUGAUAAUAUUAUUAUUACUACAAGUGCAUUUUAUAAUAAUGAAAGUUAUAAACAUGUCGAAAGUGUAACGUCGCUAAUUCAAUGUUGAUGCAAAAGUGAUAUACUUAUCGAAUAUCGUUCUAACUAUAUAAUUUAAUAAACAUAUUGAAAAAAAAAUAUAUGCAAUACUAUAUAAUUCUCAAAUACGUUACUUUAGAAUGUUAUAGUUUUUCUACGUAUUAAUUUGUACAUAAAGACUUAAUAAAUAAAAUUUAAAUUUAGAUAUAUAAAUAUAAAUAAAUAUAAAUAUGUAUUGCAUUUAUAUUGUAACAAACUAAUGAACGAAAAUAUGCGAUGUCAAAGUCGAAGAUUUUUAUUCACAAUUUUUAUAACAGUAUUGUGGUAUAGAAAUAAUUUAUUUGUUCACGAUAAUGAAUUAUGUUAUAUGCAACUAUCAA
Molecule: unclassified non-coding RNA, 2786 nt
Filed under: Polistes fuscatus (common paper wasp)
Lineage: Eukaryota; Metazoa; Arthropoda; Insecta; Hymenoptera; Vespidae
Description: dolichyl-diphosphooligosaccharide--protein glycosyltransferase subunit 2, transcript variant X1
Source: RNAcentral